GGGGAUUUGGUUCAGUGGUAGAGCGCUUGCCUAGGAAGCGCAAGGUCCUGGGUUCGAUUCCCCAGCCCCCC
Non-coding RNA from Rattus norvegicus (Norway rat), 71 nucleotides. Lineage: Eukaryota; Metazoa; Chordata; Mammalia; Rodentia; Muridae. The record is from Rfam.